GGGGUCUGCGGGAGGAAAGUCCGGGCAACUCGGGUCACCAUACUUCCUAACGGGAAGGCGACGGGGAGGCAAGCACCCCGCCGACAGCAAGUGCCACAGAAAGACAAACCGCCUGACUUCAGGUAAGGGUGCAAGCGCGGGGUAAGAGCCCACGACAUGCGGCAGCAAUGCCGCACGAUGGCAAACCUUAUGGGUUGAAAAACCAAAUAUACCGGCAGCACAGGGCCGACCCGCCCUUUGCCGGGGGGUAGGUUGAUUGAGACCGUCGGCGACGACGGCCCUAGAUUGAUGAUAGAGGCCUCCGCAUGGGGGCGACAGAACCCGGCUUAUGACGUU
Molecule: RNase P RNA, 336 nt
Filed under: bovine gut metagenome
Description: Bacterial RNase P class A
Rfam family: Bacterial RNase P class A
About the family: Ribonuclease P (RNase P) is a ubiquitous endoribonuclease, found in archaea, bacteria and eukarya as well as chloroplasts and mitochondria. Its best characterised activity is the generation of mature 5'-ends of tRNAs by cleaving the 5'-leader elements of precursor-tRNAs.
Source: RNAcentral